This 251-nucleotide ribosomal RNA is filed under the name uncultured Gardnerella sp. RNAcentral describes it as "partial 16S ribosomal RNA". It matches the Rfam family "Bacterial small subunit ribosomal RNA", at positions 103 to 355 of the family's 1533-position model. The record is from RNAcentral. Lineage: Bacteria; Bacillati; Actinomycetota; Actinomycetes; Bifidobacteriales; Bifidobacteriaceae.
CGGGUGAGUAAUGCGUGACCAACCUGCCCCAUGCUCCAGAAUAGCUCUUGGAAACGGGUGGUAAUGCUGGAUGCUCCAACUUGACGCAUGUCUUGUUGGGAAAGUGUUUAGUGGCAUGGGAUGGGGUCGCGUCCUAUCAGCUUGUAGGCGGGGUAAUGGCCCACCUAGGCUUCGACGGGUAGCCGGCCUGAGAGGGCGGACGGCCACAUUGUGACUAGAUACGGCCCAGACUCCUACGGGAGGCAGCAGCU